Phyllostomus discolor (pale spear-nosed bat) is the source of this 646-nucleotide long non-coding RNA. RefSeq lists it as uncharacterized. The record is from RefSeq and is a predicted model, not a curated record. Lineage: Eukaryota; Metazoa; Chordata; Mammalia; Chiroptera; Phyllostomidae. The transcript has 3 exons.
AUUAUUAAUUUUCUUAAGUACAGGUUUCAUUUUAAAAUUAUAGCAGUGAACUAAGGGCCAGUGAAACUUUGGCAAAUUCCCUCACUGUAUUAGUUUGUUAGGGCUGCCCCAACAAAGUUCUACAGACUGGGUGGCUUAAUCAGAAAUUUAUUUUCUCUGUUCUGAAGGCUGGAAGUCCAAAAUGAAAGUGUUGGCAGGGCUGGUUUCUCUGAGGCCUCUCUCUUGGCUUAUAGAUAGAUAGUCAUAUUCUCCCUGUGCCUUCACAUGGUCUUCUCACUGUACUUGUCUGUGUCCAGAUUUCUUCUUCUUAGAAGGACACCAUCAUUAGAUUAGGGACCCCCAGUGACUGCCUGUUGCCUUAAUUAACUAUGUAGGACCCCAUUCCCAAGUACAGUCACAUUGUGAGAUACUAGGGGUUAGUACUUUGCAGUGGUCUGAUCUGAAUGUUUGUGUCCCACAAAUUCAUAUGUUGAAAGCUAAUGCCCAGUGUGAUGGUUUCAGGAGGUACAGCUUUGGGAUGUGAUUAGGUCAGGAAGGUAGAGCUUUCAUGAAUGGAAUUAGUAAAAAAAGAGAUUCUAUAGAGAUCUCUUACCCCUUCUCCCAUGUGAGGUUACAGUGAAAAGACAUGUACAUUUGUAAUCCCUUG